GCACCUCUUACUUCCUUAUCAUAUACUGCCCCGUCGUUGUUCACGCAGUUUCGGCAUGCACUAUCGGUGGAUUGCAGCUAGUUUCGUGCCGGUCGCUGGUUAAUCCAGUUGUGUUUUGAGAGACUUAUAUCGUUUAUUCGGACAUCAAUAUUCAAAAUUUGUGUUAUACUCGCAGAUCAAUCGACUAUUUAUUUGUACUCUGCGAGUAUAGUAUAUUAUUUAAUGUACGGACAUGCCGGUUUUGAUAACGUUUCUUAUGUAUAUUACAAGUCACGUGAUAGUGGAUUUGAUAACAUUCUUCACUCGGCGUUGUGUUUAGUGUCGGUUACUAAAUUAAUCGGAUAUAUAUCGCCCUCAUUCAGAAAGAUCUAUCAGGCUCAUUUACAGCACUCAUGCCUGGCAGUCCGAUAAGCUGUACAUUGCGGGCGAACACAAUGUCGUAAGACAACAGUUUUCUCACCAAAUUCCGGCGAACGCAAUGUCCUGGGGCAACCGUUCUUGCACUAAAUUGUACGGUGCCUUGAACGGGAGUCACUUCUACCGCUACCUUCGUACAGUGCCCUAAAUGGGAAUCUUUAUGGAUCAUUUGUUGGAUCAAGAAUUGGCUAAUCCUGAGAUGUCCAAGUUUAUCAAUAAGGAGCAAGUGGAGAGGUUCCGGGGUACUGAGUGCGUAUUGAGGAUGAUGUUUCCUUUACUGAAGAUGGAUGUGUCAACUGGACUAAAAUACCAAGAACUGUCUAAGAAAUUGAAGAUUGGAUUGCCGGUGUUGAUGAUGAUUCCGAAAACGAUUGAAUGAAUUCUCAAGAAUAUCAUUUUGUUUAUUUUGUUAAAAGUUAUAAACAGAGCUUUAUAUAGUUGCAUAUUAUUAUCAUGUUUUCUUGCUUGUAUUGUUAAAAAUGUUGUAUAUAUUAAGAAAAUGAGUUUCUGAUUCUACAUGUUUGAAUAAAAUUGUAGUUUUAUAAA
RNA transcript from Dalotia coriaria, 963 nucleotides. It is a transcript of the gene named xaa-Pro dipeptidase-like, with no coding region annotated. The transcript is spliced from 6 exons. Lineage: Eukaryota; Metazoa; Arthropoda; Insecta; Coleoptera; Staphylinidae. The record is from RefSeq and is a predicted model, not a curated record.